This 492-nucleotide ribosomal RNA is filed under the name uncultured bacterium. Its description in RNAcentral is "partial 16S ribosomal RNA". It matches the Rfam family "Bacterial small subunit ribosomal RNA", at positions 29 to 507 of the family's 1533-position model. The record is from RNAcentral.
AGUGAACGCUGGCGGUAGGCCUAACACAUGCCAGUCGAACGGCAGCACAGUAAGAGCUUGCUCUUACGGGUGGCGAGUGGCGGACGGGUGAGGAAUACAUCGGAAUCUACUUUUUCGUGGGGGAUAACGUAGGGAAACUUACGCUAAUACCGCAUACGACCUACGGGUGAAAGCAGGGGAUCUUCGGACCUUGCGCGAUUGAAUGAGCCGAUGUCGGAUUGGCUAGUUGGGGGGGUAAAGGCCCACCAAGGCGACGAUACGUAGCUGGUCUGAGAGGAUGAUCAGCCACACUGGAACUGAGACACGGUCCAGACUCCUACGGGAGGCAGCAGUGGGGAAUAUUGGACAAUGGGCGCAAGCCUGAUCCAGCCAUACCGCGUGGGUGAAGAAGGCCUUCGGGUUGUAAAGCCCUUUUGUUGGGAAAGAAAAGCAGCAGGUUAAUACCCCGCUGUUCUGACGGUACCCAAAGAAUAAGCACCGGCUAACUUCGUG